Molecule: ribosomal RNA, 818 nt
Filed under: marine metagenome
Description: bacterial SSU rRNA
Rfam family: Bacterial small subunit ribosomal RNA
Source: RNAcentral
UAGAUAUUAGAAAGAAUACCAAUUGCGAAGGCAGCUUUCUGGAUCAUUACUGACACUGAGGAACGAAAGCAUGGGUAGCGAAGAGGAUUAGAUACCCUCGUAGUCCAUGCCGUAAACGAUGUGUGUUAGACGUUGGAAAUUUAUUUUCAGUGUCGCAGCGAAAGCGAUAAACACACCGCCUGGGGAGUACGACCGCAAGGUUAAAACUCAAAUGAAUUGACGGGGACCCGCACAAGUAGUGGAGCAUGUGGUUUAAUUCGAAGAUACGCGCAGAACCUUACCAACACUUGACAUGUUCGUCGCGACUCUAAGAGAUUAGAGUUUUCGGUUCGGCCGGACGAAACACAGGUGCUGCAUGGCUGUCGUCAGCUCGUGUCGUGAGAUGUUGGGUUAAGUCCCGCAACGAGCGCAACCCUCACUUUUAGUUGCCAUCAUUAAGUUGGGCACUCUGAAAGAACUGCCAGUGAUAAGCUGGAGGAAGGUGGGGAUGACGUCAAGUCCUCAUGGCCCUUACGUGUUGGGCUACACACGUGCUACAAUGGUAUCUACAACAGGAAGCAAGACUGCGAAGUUAAGCAAAUCCCUAAAAGAUACCUCAGUUCGGAUUGCACUCUGCAACUCGAGUGCAUGAAGCUGGAAUUACUAGUAAUCGUGGAUCAGCGUGCCACGGUGAAUGCGUUCCCGGGUCUUGUACACACCGCCCGUCACACCAUGGGAGUUGGUUCUACCUUAAGGCAAGGUUUCAAACCCUUGACCACGGUAUAGUCAGCGACUGGGGUGAAGUCGUAACAAGGUAGCCGUAGGGGAACCUGCGGCUG